RNAcentral lists this ribosomal RNA (253 nucleotides) under uncultured bacterium. RNAcentral's name for it is "partial 16S ribosomal RNA". It matches the Rfam family "Archaeal small subunit ribosomal RNA", at positions 474 to 727 of the family's 1478-position model. The record is from RNAcentral.
UACCGGCACCCCGAGUGGUCGGGACGAUUAUUGGGCCUAAAGCAUCCGUAGCCGGUUCUACAAGUCUUCCGUUAAAUCCACCUGCUUAACAGAUGGGCUGCGGAGGAUACUAUGGAGCUAGGAGGCGGGAGAGGCAAGCGGUACUUAGUGGGUAGGGGUAAAAUCCGUUGAUCCAUUGAAGACCACCAGUGGCGAAGGCGGCUUGCCAGAACGCACUCGACGGUGAGGGAUGAAAGCUGGGGGAGCAAACCGG